GAAGAAGAACGUAGCGAAAUGCGAUACGUAAUGUGAAUUGCAGAAUUCAGUGAAUCAUCGAAUCUUUGAACGCAUAUUGCGCUCUCUGGUAUUCCGGAGAGCAUGCUUGUUUGAGUAUCAGUAAACACCUCAACUCCCUUUUCUUUUUUGAAAUUGGAGCUGGACUUGAGUGAUCCCAACGCUUUCUUCCAAGAAAGUGGCGGGUUGCUUGAAAUGCAGGUGCAGCUGAACUUUUCUCUGAGCUAUAAGCAUAUCUAUUUAGUCUGCCUAAAAAACAGAUUAUUACCUUUGCUGCAGCUAACAUAAAGGAGACUAGUUCUUGUGCUGACUGAUGCAGGAUUCACAGAGACAGCUUCGGCUGACUUUGUAAACUCGAUCUCAAAUCAAGUAAGACUACCCGCUGAACUUAAGCAUAUCAAUAAGCGGAGGA
Molecule: unclassified non-coding RNA, 430 nt
Filed under: soil metagenome
Description: partial contains 5.8S ribosomal RNA, internal transcribed spacer 2, and large subunit ribosomal RNA
Rfam family: 5.8S ribosomal RNA (bases 1-120)
Source: RNAcentral